CCGCUGUAAGAACAAAUUACAAGUCAAAAAUUCAGAUAAAAAAGGGAAAGAACUGAAAAUAUUAAAUUAUGCACUAUGAACAAAUUUUAGCAUCUCGUUUUGGUACAAUGCACUCCAAGUCUGCAAAACAACAGGCUCGACGUCAGUUCUCAUGACACCUCCACGUGUUAGAAUAGGCAACAUCAACGUCAUAUGGAAAAACUAUGGUUCAUAGUCCGGGCCAUCUGUUUCACCCCUUGAAGUACCCUGAUCAGCACCAAAUGUCCUCUUGCUCAUGUUUGCUCGUUGCACUAGCCGAACUAAUGCUUCAACCACUUCCGACAUAGGUGGCCUGAACUCCGGUUCAGGCUGGACACACAGAGCUAUUACAUCAGCAAAGCGUGAUAGAGAUUUAACAGGAUAGAGCCCCUCGAGUGCUGGAUCAACCAUCUUAGCUAGGGCAUCAAUAUCAUGCAGCUGAGGUGUUGCCCAUCUAACUAGAUCUUGUUCAGAUCUUGUUCUUGCGCUAUCAAAAGGUUUUCGUCCGGUAAGAAGUUCCAACAUAACCACUCCAAAGCUGUACACAUCAGAUUCCUUGCUAGCUCUUCUUGUGCUUUUAUAUUCUGGAGCUAAGUAACCUAGAGUUCCUCCUAAUCCAGUUGUUUGGGGACCAAUUUCAUGGUCUGUGAACCAAGCUAACCCAAAGUCACCCAGCUUAGCAUUAAAAUUAGAGUCUAGCAUUACAUUGCUGGAUUUGACAUCUCGGUGAACCACACACUGCUCCCACUCUUCAUGAAGGUAGAGCAAUGCUGAGGCCAACCCAAGAGAUAUCUUGUAUCUCACAGGCCAUUUAAGAGGAGUCCUCUUGCCAAAGAGGUGAACAACUAGACUACCAUUUGGCAUGAAUUCAUAAACAAGUAGAAACUCACCUUUAUCAUGGCACCAACCCAAGAGUUGAGCCAGAUUCCGGUGUCUCAAUUGGCCAAUGGUUUUCACCUCAGUAAUAUGCUCCUUUUUACCUUGUCUAGAUCCUCUUGAAACUUACUUCACAGCAAUUGCUAAAUCCAUAUCAAUUAAGUAUCCCUUGUAAACAGCACCCUCCUUUCCCCAGCAUCCUUUCUUCCGAGAAGUUAUUGGUAGCUGAAACGAGAUCUUCAUAAGAAAACCUUCUUGGUCCAGCUCUUCUUUCAAGGUCUUCAUUGAUUGACGUCAAGUUCCUUCCUCCCCUUUUUUCCUUGCCAUCAUCUGUUUCUUCCUCCUCCUCCUGAAAGAAAUAAAAGUUCCUACGAUCGUCCCACCAGCUAGAACACAUGCUGAAACUCCAACACCAACUAUUAUUCUGGUCCUCUUUGAACUGUUUCCAUUUUUUCCCUGGAAAUUCAAACUAGAAUUGAUUUCCCAGGAUUGAAGUUGGUGUCGUUCUCCGUAUUGACCUGUAGCAGCUGAAAACCCAAUAUUAACCCAUUCCGGCAAAACCUCCUUCAGAUCAAUUAUGUAAAACAAACUAGUAUUCUCCUGAGGAUUGGAGGUUUUCUUAUAAGUCCAAAAUACGCUCAUUUUUAGUUGUUGCAUUGUAAGUAACCCAUACAUCAGCGGUAUCUCCACUGUGAAAGCUUGCGUUCCAGGCAGUAUGCACAGCUGAAGCAAGAGAGUUGUUGUUGAUCCCUACAUGCUCAACCAGAGGCUUGGGAUCCUAUUCUUCAUUUCGAAAUGAAUCGAACUCCACUAUAACGAUUAGGUUCUGAGACGAAUCCAUAGUUGAGGUGUUAAACAAGCUCAAAAAGGCACCGGCAGAAUUCGGUGGGAUUCCAAAUCCAACCGGACCAAGGAAGAAGCAAGCCUAUGGCCAUAUUUAGAAACACCUUGGGUGUCAAUGUUGAAAGAGAAAUGGGACCUGAAAUCAGAAAGUUUCCCUGUGGUGGAGUCCCAGAGCAUGAUCCUUUCAGCAUAGGCGGCCCAACCAACACGGCAUGUAAAGUCGUACUUGCUGAUUAAUUCAACGACACCACCAGAUGAAGGCGCUGCAUCACCGUGAUAAAGAAAGUUGUUUACCUCAGGACCAAAGCGAGGUAUAUAGAAAUGAACAGAAAUAG
Molecule: unclassified non-coding RNA, 2072 nt
Filed under: Hevea brasiliensis (rubber tree)
Lineage: Eukaryota; Viridiplantae; Streptophyta; Magnoliopsida; Malpighiales; Euphorbiaceae
Source: RNAcentral